UACGUAGGUGGCGAGCGUUAUCCGGAAUGAUUGGGCGUAAAGGGUGCGUAGGCGGCACGCUAAGCCUGAUGUGAAAGCCCGCGGCCCAACCGCGGGAGUGCAUUGGGAACUGGCGGGCUGGAGUACCGGAGGGGCAGGCGGAAUUCCUAGUGUAGCGGUGAAAUGCGUAGAUAUUAGGAGGAACACCAGUGGCGAAGGCGGCCUGCUGGACGGAGACUGACGCUGAGGCUCGAAAGCGUGGGGAGCAAACAGG
Molecule: ribosomal RNA, 253 nt
Filed under: uncultured bacterium
Lineage: Bacteria
Description: partial 16S ribosomal RNA
Rfam family: Bacterial small subunit ribosomal RNA
Source: RNAcentral